GGGAGCGCAGGGCCGGGGCAGCAGCCUGCUCCUUCGGGGGAGCGGGGGCGUCGUGCCGGCAGGUAUCCCCCGGGGGAGAGGAGGGGGAGAGGGGGGAACCUCCCCCUCCGUCCGGGCGGCGGGCGGGGAUGUGCCAUUUCUCUUCCCGAAAAACGAUGCGGGACGCCAGGGCCGGGCCCGGCAGGGAGCGCCGCCCUCCGGAGCUGUGGCUUGUGCCGCUCCGGGUGGGGUGUUCAUCGCUCAGGUGAAGGGAGAGGAGACUUCGCACUUGCACUCGCUUGUCUUCUCUGUGGCUGUCCUAGGAAGAUUUUUCAUGAUAGCGGCAUUUCAAAAAGGAAAAGUUGCAGUCUUUUCCCUUCUUUUCAUUCACUCUGGAAUAGAAAGUGAGCAACAAGCUGCUCCCCUGCUUCCCAUGUAUCAGGCAGUACUUGAACCCAUCUCAUGUAACAGGAGAAAAGGAGAAACCUCAACGUAGAUGAGGUGAAAGAGCAUCUUUCCAUUCAACUCUGACUGUGAUACCUUUGGAAGGAAGAAUACUUUAUGGAGAAGGAUAAUGUCAUAGGUAAGGCUGAGGGCUAUAUAUACAGGUUCUUUCUGUGGUUCUGCCAAUGACCUUUUAUCUGAUAUGGAGAACCUACUACCUCUAUACUACAUUUUUCUCAUCUUCAAAAAGAGGAAAAUACCUACCUCAAGGAAUCCACAGAUAUGAGUUUAUUAACUUUUUUAAAGGAAUAUGAGAUCUCAAAGGAUUAUGUGAGUGCACAACAUUACUGAUUGUCCCACUCCUGUGUUACAGAAAACUGUUAUGCAAGAACACAAUGAAAAACUAUUUUCCUUUUCCCUUUCUGAUUUCUUGUGCCGAUUUUAUAUUUUGGGGUGUGUGUAUAGAUAUUAUACUUAGAAAUUACAUUAGGUCAUUUCCAGGUUGCUAGUAGAAGGUGGCAGACCUAUCUAUCCCAUAUUAUGAAGUAUCUUGAGAGCUGGCAUAUUGGAAAUCUAGAUCUCUGAACAUGCCAAAGAAUUUUAACUUCAGUCUUUUUUUCUGUCUACAUUUCACUUGACAUGUUUACCUUUUUGUAGGAUAUUACUGAAAGGUGUUUGAAUCCUGGAGGGGUAGAUUUUAACCAAACAUCUGAAACAUGUUAUUGAGUAAAUCUCCGUGCUUCUCUCAGUCAUUCGUAUUGGACAUACUCCACUUCACAUGGUUAACUGCAUUAUCUGUUUGGAGAGAGCAUAAGGGAAGAUGACUUAAUAGUCCAGAAAGCAGAAAACCUGCUGGGUGUGUGGGAGUGUGAGGUUCAGAUCCAUGGACUGAAAUAAGCAAAGCAAGAACGUCAUGGUUGGAUUCUUACUCCCACGUGCCUGCCUGAAACUCUUUUAAGGUCAGUGAACAUCUGUCUUCCGUCUGAAUUUGACCAGAUAAGCCUUGUCCUUUACAAGUAGUGUGAGUGCUUCUCAGUCAUACUUUUCUAUUUGGACAGAUCAACAGUUUCUGACAAACAACUAUCUUAUCACAAAAUUUUCUGUCAGUUUUACUUCAAACAAACCUACUCUGCAAUAAAAAAGCUCAGUGGUAGAACACACAGGGAGUGACUUGCUGAACAAAAAAAGCCCCAUUUGUUUAACCAAUUCUCUCUGUUGCCCAACAUCAUCUAGGUUAGAAGUUCCUGGUAUGUGGGCUGGGGGUCAUCAUGGGAUCAUACUAAAUAUUAAAACCAAAGAAUGCAUCAUUUUUGCCUGACAGUGUAUUUUUAUGAGCAGCAGCCACUUUCCUCCAGGGACCUGCUUUUCAGUCAGAGGAUAUGAACCAUACCUGCUGCAGCAGAGAAACUGCUGAGUGAAAAGGAAUAUGUUCCAUGGACAGAGAUGUGGCUUUUGCUGGCGGUACUUUACUGUGUUACAUGCCUCACGAUGUAAUGAUGUAAAAAUUUGGACACAGAGGGAAGAAAAGCAUUAGACAGACCAACAUGAGGCAUGGAGUAACGGUGAGUUUCACACAGGUGAAUAUUUGACUCUUCAUUAAAUUUCAAUGGUAUUUGUACUGGCUAUGAAAUUAGACUUUUGCCAGACUUGGGCUAAUAAAGGGCAAUACCAAACACACCUAGUCAUGGAAAUAUGAAAAAAGAUGUUACUGUGGAGAAAAGUAGAUAUAAUAACUGAUCCUGUUCCUAUGGUCAGACUUUGCUGCAGCAGGUGCCAAGGUGUUGGUGUUGGAAGGUGUUGGAAAAGUGCUGGAACUACAGAAACUGCAGCUGGCUCUAUACCAUCUCCUGGCUUCUGAGCAGAAGGAAUCUUUGCUCCUGCCAAUAUAAAAUAGGUCCAGCAGUGGUUCUGAGACAAAGCAGCGCUACUGAAUAACAAUCAAAUUCACUUGAAAAUCCAACUCAAAGCACUUGAAUGAGCAGUUUACCUGGGGGCUGUUCCACAAUUGCUUGAAGUCACCAAAAGGACUUUCACAGAGUUCAGCAGGUGCUGAAUCAGGCAAGUUCUUAGCAGAAAGGAAGACACGACUGUUUUAUGGGCUUCAAGAAAACCACAGCCAACGAAAUGUAAGAGCUACUGUGUUAUAAUACCUUAAUAAUGGUAUCUUACUUUGCAAUUGAAGGAGACUGGGAAUGUAGUCUCACAGAUGUGAAUGCCCAAAAGAUACAUCUGGAUAAACACUAUGGACAUGAGGUAGACACAUCAAUGGACUUAUUUUUCUAGUUUGGAUCAAAAGAGAGUUUGUCAAUUCCUUGCUGUCUCAGAGUUCACCCUAUGAAUUGGUCUUGGAGCAUGCAGACUGGAUUUUUAUUUUUUUUUUCAAUAAAACUAAUCUGGUAGAAAUGCUGCAGGAAGAUACCUGCACUCCCACUGCUAAUGGGUGUUGAACAAGUGGGAUCAGACUAGAUCUAGUUUUCAGCAAGAACUUUAAACUGAAUGUGGACAUCACAUCCUUGUGGUCAACUCUUCUACCUCCCAGAUUCUCUCCUUGUGAAAUACUAUCUGCUGAGGUUAGAUAUAGCUUAAAUGAAUUAAAUUCAAUAAUUUGUCUCUGAUUGAAGAGAUCUGACCUGAACAUCUACGCAUGCAUUAAGGUCUGUGAGAAGUUAACCUUCAUUGCAACUUACCCUUCCCUUUUGUAUUUAUGUAUCUUGUCUCUGUUUGUGGCAUGUGGAAGCAAACAUUGCUUAUCACCUUCUAUUUUUCUCUGUGCUUAAUUACGUUGCAAUAAAUGUUAACCCUUUAUAAUUCUUUAGAAUGAGCAGAAGCAGAUGCUGCUACAACCUAGAUGGUGUUUUUUGUCAUGUCAUUUCUAUGCUUUGUGUGAGUACAUCCUGCCACUUCCCUCAUUGUCUGCUCUGCAGUCUUCUAUUAUCAUCUGUCCCACAUUAACCUGUGUGAGACUUUACUGGGAUAAGAGCACCUGAAGGGGCUUUGGCUUCUGUGUUGUCUUACCACUCACUGCUACAACAUAGGAAUAUACAUGAAGACUCCUUCUUUUUACACAGGUAAAGACAAAACUCCCAAAAAAGUAAUAUUUAUACUUUUUGCAUUACAGUGACGCAUCUCAGAUUCUCUUAAACAGAAAAUGUGAAUGUUUUUGUGGGAGUGACAAAUCUGCUAUUCAGCCCAAGAAAUGAAACAGUAAAGCUAGUACUAACAAAACUGUUUCAUGAUGGUGACAUAACACAUAAGCAACCCAUGAAUAAUUUAUUUUUGUGGGCCUGAUAAUCCAGGUGCUGACAAAUUGUCUCCAGUAUUUCUGUCACUUAACAGUAUCCUUAGACUGCUUUUAAUUAUAGACUUCAUCACCUACCAUGGAAGUACAAGGGGCUGAAGCAUAUCUCCUUCAUUCCCUAAUUUCUGCUUCUGACAUCCUUGUGGAAGUUGCUUCUCGAAAACCUUCUCUUCUGUAUUUGGCUGUUAUAAGACUUGUGUGUGGACAUUAACCUCCAUCCCUGACGCCUUGUGAAUUUGGGUCCCGUCUGGAAUCCUGGCAGCCGGCUACCUGUCAGCGAUUUAAUGGAAGGAUCUUGACGUCAUCAGUUUCAAGCUCUCUGAGCAGGAAAAUGAGAUGGGGGUUUCAUAUUUCAAAGAACAACAGAGCUCAGGGAUGGUUUUUUAAAUCGAAAUUCUGGCUGCAGGAGUCAUUAAAUAUAGUUCUGCUUCUCUUCUAGACUGUGAGAUCAAACAGCACAGGCAAUAGCAGGAAUAUUUGCUCACUUACAUGUGCAAUUUUUGCAGAUUGGUUGGCUUCACUCUGAAACUUACUAUAAAAAGGACAUAAAAAUAUCUUUCACAUGUCUGGAUUUGUGCUGAAAAAAUCCCGUACUAAAACGUUUUUUUUUUUCCUCCAAAGUGUUUGAACUUUUUCUUCGUUGAUAUUCAAGUUUAAAACUUGUUUUUCUGGAGUCUGUUGAUAGCUGAUUGGAGAAAGUACAUAGUUUGAAAUUAACUCACUUUUGACUAGGUGAACAGUAUUUGAUUUGAAGGAUCUGGUAUGAAAAUCAUUAAUUUUCACCAUAAUCCAGCCUUGUAAUGCUGAAAGAACUCAUAAAAUGUCAUGGCUAAUUUAGUUGCCUCCAAGACUAUAAUCCAGAAAUCUUGUCUCCAUGCUCACCAUGCUCACUAUAGAAGCAAAAUUUUCACUAAAUUCAUCAAACUAGGGAACAAUGUCUUUCACCUUAGGAUUGAGAUCAUAUAGCAAAAAUAAGUGCCCUAUUCAUGACCUAUAAAAGGGACAGGGUUUAUAUCCAAUUUAUCACAUCUCAGAUUCACAAACCCCAAAAUAUGGAAUCAGCCAGUUUAAUGCAGUAGGGUACUGAAACAGAAAUUCAAGUUGUGGUGUGUUGGGUUUUUUUUAGGGUGCUUAACCAGGAGUAUAUGUGCAUGUGUAAUCUCCAGUUAUUGUGUCUGGACAAUGCUGAUUUGUUGCAGUAAGAAAUGUGGAGUAUUUGGAAACAAUUUCAUUAAUUAAACAAAAGGCUGUCUUAAUGUAGGUUAAUGUAUUACAUUUAAGGAGUUUAUUUCAAAAUCAUACUCUUUACAUGUAUUGAGUAGCCAAAGUAAGAAAGAAAUAGAAUUGUUUAUUAAUAUAAAAUACCAAAUUAAUUUCUUUUACUUCCUGGGAGUUUUAAAGUAAUAAAUUCAGAAUGUUUCUGAAUAAUCAGGAUUUAUACAUGUUUACACCAUUAUUUCUUCACUUUAAGACAUUAUUUAUUGUGUUUUCAAUAAAAAGAAACCUCCAAGCUAAUGGAACGCUGAAUUUUUUCUCUGUAGAUGACAGAAAUAAUCUGAACAUGAAUGUGGAAAUAUUAAAAAAUGCAAGAUAUGCAUCACUUGCAUAAAAUAUAUCAAAAGAAUCUGCAAAUUUUUGAGACACAGGACUCUCAAAUCUGAAGGACAACUUUGGGAUAUACCAAAAUAGAAGACUUAUAAUAAAUAUGUAUGGGAUCCAGUCAGAAACAUGCAGAAUCAUGUCAUCACAGUACAGACCCUGAAAGGCUGCCUACUGUACUGCACAAAGCAAAUUUCUGGAUCAUAAGAAUUCAUCAGCACAUUGGGGAGUCUCACUGAAUCCUUUGGAACAGGCAAUUGCAAGGACCCUUGCAAUGAAGGCUCAUGGAACUGUUUAUUCUAGGACUGACUGUCCUUUUUCAGAGGUUUGAUUCUCCAUGUGAGUCCUACUCCAUGAAAAGUCCCCAUGGUUUUUUUUUCUAGGCAACAUUGCGUGUUUGAGCAACAGCUGACAUCUAGAAAAAGAGAGUAUAUUAAAUCCUAGUGUAAGUACUUCUAACAAAGUUGUGUUGCUCUUUAGGUGAAGCUGGUAUUUUGGUAUUGCUAGUCCUUUGCGCCUUUUCACAAAUAAAUGGAAUCAUAGAAACAAAGAAUCAUAGAAUCAUAGAUUGGGUUGGGUUGGAAGGGAUGAUCCAUGAGCAGGGACAUCUUCAACUAGACCAGGUUGCUCAAAGCCCUAGCCAACCUGACCUUGAACACUUCCAGGGACUGGGCACCCACAGCUUCUCUGGGCAUCUAGUUCCAGUGCUUCACCACUGUCAUUGUAAAGAAUUUAUUCCUUAUAUCCAAUCCAAAUUUACCCUCUUUCAGUUUAAAACCAUUGCCCCUUGUGCUGUCACUACAGGAUCUGGCAAGAAGUCUUUCUUCAUCUUAUAAGCCCCCUCUAAAUAUUGAAAGGCUGUGUUAAGGUCUCCCCAGAGCCUUCUUUUCUUCAGGCUAAACUUAGAGGCUUAAAUACCCUCUAGAAAGUUCAAAAAAGUCCUCCUACUAUAUUUCAGCAUAGAAAUGAUAGAAAACCUUGGCUUGCUGCACUGCACAGAACUGUGGGAUGAGCUUCCUAGAAAUAAGAGACAUACAUGGCCAAGGACAGCAGAUCCAAGUCACUUGAAUCUCAGAUGCCUCCUCACCCUCACAGCAUGACUCAUUCGAGGUUAGGCUAGCUUUAGAGGAGCAAUUCAAGUGAGAAGUUAAGCCUCUGCAACGGAAAUGUACAUGUAGAAAAACUCCUAAAGAAAAUCGCAAAGUUCAAUGAUUUCAAGAACUACCCAUAAGAAAACCAGUAUUUCUACAGUGUCAGAAUUUUCUAUUAAAAAUCUAGAGUUUAAUAAAUCCUAAACCUGAUUUCUGAUGUGAGCCCUCACAUUCUUUUGAGCUCAAGGUUCACUGAACCAUUUGUGUGAAGAGGGGGGGGGGGGGGCAGAGCUGAGUUUUGCCAACUCUAAGCCUUUAAAAAUGGGCUUCUAAAAGUGCUGAACGACCUGCUAGGGAGUAGUUAGCAGGUCCUAUUGUUCUUUGUAGUCCUUUGGAAUUAAUGCAUAAUAAAAACUCUCUUUCUGAGAUUGUGUGUAGCAGCUGGAUAGAAGAUGAGAGCUGCUACUGGAGCAAGGCCAUCUAUACAGUGUGAGAAAGUAGACUUGGCAAAGGGCUCUGGCUGUACCAAGUGGGUCCCACUGGCAGAUGAAACUUUAGGAAGCUGUCUGAGUUAUCUUAUUAUGCAUCUGUUCUAGUUUAUCAAGGCACUCAGGGCAUUGGUUGAUCUGACAGACCUCUUGGAUUCAAGCUAAAUUACACCCCAUGCCAGCACUGUAUAUGCUGAAAUAAUAGUUCUUCUAUUAUGAGAUUAUUAUGAGAUUUAAAUUUAUACAUUAUUAGAAUUUGUUUUUCAGAUAAUGUUGCUGUUUUAAUGGGUUCACUGAGUACUUCUCAUUUACUUUUCUAGUCUUAAACAUAAUUAUACAGCACAAACAAUAAGAAUGGCAUUGAUAAUGAAAGCUUUGCAGUACUUACUGUCCAAACAUUUUUACAUUUUGAGAAGGUACUGCUUCUAAUGAAAUUUUUACAGCGUGAUUUAUUUUUUUUUAAUGUUCUCGCUGUAUUUUAAAGCUUAAUAGGUUUAUUUUCUGAGUCAAUAAUCCACUUUUGCACUUCCUGUGGGGUCGUGUACUAAGUAAACCUAUUUGCAUUAAAGAUGGUGACAUUUUAACAGUGAUUGGCUGCAAGAUUUGUUCAGUACUUUUGCCAAGCAGCAGUAUGCGCAGCUAGAAGAAUUCUUGAAAAUACCUUGUAAAAUUUUUCUUUUGGUGCCAUGGGCACCUCUCCAGAUAUUCUUUCCACUGUUCUCUUGCAGCCUGAAGCAACUCUAUUGGUUUGUAGCCUAGCCUUGUUUGUUUGUCAAGACAUCCUUGCAGCUAUAGAAUGAUUGCAGAGGUGAAGUUUGCAUGCCUGGACACUGCUACUCCUCCUACCAGCCUAAUUCUUCGCCAUAGCAGUUACAUCCCUCAAGACUGAUUAUAGAGCACUGGAACCCCCUCAGUCCAUCUAAAUACAUACCUUUGCUGUGGCCUUUCGGACCCUGAAUCCCCUGGGCUGUUCCCUGCUAAGUGAGUAGUUCCAGUUGUUCUAAUGCACAUCACUGUGCGGCCCAAUGUACAGGGCAUUUUCAAAACAUCAACUCAUGCGUGUUGCACAGUGUUAGAAAGAGCCAAGGGUCAAUUACACUCCUGGCUGCUCUGUAUAUUGUUUUGGCUGUGGCCAGGAUCAUUUCUGGCCUCACUGUUUCCUGGGAGUGAAAGGGAUUCACCAAUAUGCAUGUCAGGGUGAGCUGCCAAAAGAACAUUAACGGGUGUUGAAGCAGUGCCAGGGAGCAUGGACAUGAGCCAGGGGGUCAGCUGGCAAGGACAGGACCCCCCACGUACAGUGUAUAAGGACUUCCAUGUGCAAGCCUGAAAAGAGAGCAGGAAGAGGUGAAGGAGACAUUCAUCAAACCAAGAACAGGCGACAGUACUCAGGAAAAAUAGCAUCAGCAAAAGGGAGCAGUGCUCACUAGACUUAAGUUUUUGUCAGAAAGGUCAGGAAGCAGCUGGUAGCUGAAAAGGAACAAACCACCUCCAGCACAACCCGGAUGCAUGGCAGGGUGUGCUUGCAAAGCAGUUAUAGAGUGAUGGGCAUCCAAGGAUGGGUAAUAUGACCUUUUUCCCUAACAUGACCUAAGUUAAUAUGACCUAUUACUUAUUUCCUAGGGAUUGUCAGGAAAAUAGGUCAGCGAUUUGUGGGGAUGAUGAAUUGUCCUCUUUGGCUGCAGAUAGAUAUGCAUAGAAAGAGCUCUAUUUGAUGACAUGAAUUAAUCAUCAAAAUUUAUGGGUUUUGACAGGACAUUGAAACCAUAAGUACCAUGAAUUUGAUAUUUUAAAGACCGAAAAUAUAGGCAAGGAGAGAUAUUAUAUAUGUGGAUUUCUUAGAGAAGAUUCAUAAGUGAGUAUGCAACAGACUUGGGUCUGUGGAUCUUUCUUUGAACAGUGACAGGCUGACAUGCAUGAGAUCUGUUCAAAACUAGCAGAAAGACCAGCUAGAUGGGGUGAGUAUUGUUAGGGAAUUAUUAGGGAAUCUAAGACUAGGGCCAGUGGGCAAUGCAAAGAAGGUGGCAGUGGAGGAUAAGCCAUCUGUUGGUGAGCUGGUGCAUGCAUUUUGUCAGAUGUUACUACAUAUCUCAAUUGGUUGUGUGGCCAGGAGUUGUUUUCUGACUGCUGAGGAAGUAUCAUGGCAGCUGGCAGCUGGGGUGUGAAUGAACAUCUGAAGAUUUGUGAAGUCAGUUGCAUUGAAAAGAUCAAGGAGUAGCAACUGGAGACUUGAAAUCUUGUUGUGUAAAAAGGACAAAAAACUGUGUGGAAUUUAUACUCUGAACUCUGGGGAAAAUUUUAGGAUAGGGCUCUGGAUCUCACUGGUUUAAUAAAAAGCACAAAACAAAUCACACGAAUAAGUAUACACCCCACCAGGAAAAGGAAAAAGUCCUGCUCAGCAAUGCAAUCAUGUUUAGAAGAUCAAGACGUAUGGGGAUAAUGAGACAUGCCAAAAGUCAGUCUAGCCAGACUUUGUAAAGGAAAUUAAACAAAUAGCAAAAGGAUAUUCAGCUGUAUAAAUAAAAAGAACACAGGAAAGCAUAAGUGAGUUCACUACACAAUAAUGACAGGGCAGAGACUAAAGCUAAUCUAGCCAUGUCCCCAAAAGUAAAUGAACACAAAUACAAACUGAUGUCCUUGGAGCUUAAUAAGAGGAGUUUCUUCUGUAGGCUGGAGUUCAUUAGUUGUCAUUGGUAGAAGAGUAAAACUACCUUAUACUAUGGUCCACAAUAGUUAAUAGAAGUCUUGCAUGAACUCCAAUGAGGUUGUCACGUUAAGAAGGGGGGAUUCCUCGAACCCUUUAUAUUUGAUCAGCCUGUCAGUUUCCCAAGAAAGAUGAGACCCUUAUCUCUGGCCAGCCUGUCCACUACCUGUGUCUUGACAGCCCACUGUAUUGGAGAGUGAUUUGAGUAACCUUUUCAGGGACCCCUGCUGACAGCAUCACUGAGUCAAAACCCUUAUAACAGCUACCCAAAUUCCUGGACAUUUAUACAAAAUGAACUUCAGCUAAAGAUCUUUAAUUAUACAAAAUGCAAGUUUGUGACAGAAUAAGGUUCCAAGUUUGCCGGUGAUAAUACCCUGACUGCAAAGCAAGCAGCAAGCUUAAAACAACACACUAAUAACAGCUGGCAUGAGUCAGUCAUAGAAUAAAGUUCUUACCUGUCAGGUGUCCCUAUGGGGGAGAAGACAGGUUCAGCCCAUCAACUGAUCCCAGAAGUUACGAUGGAGCUUUCCCUAACUUCUCCCCUCCUUUGCUUACUUUUUAUACUUCACAGUACAUUGCAUAUUCAUCAGACACAGGAUAGUUUCUUGCUUCUAACACAAAUUAGUACGCAUCCUCAAAUAGCACUACUAAAGUUCUUCACUAACUGUGCAUGCUCUCCGAGCAGGGUUUUGGUGUCUUUUGCGGGGAGCUAUUUGACUUGGAGGUCACAAUUUGCCACUGCCACAAUUACCUUUGUCCUAUUUUCCACUAAUUUUCUGUUGAUGUCAGUGGAUUGCAACACCUUUUCAGCUGGUCUCCUCUUAUAGCUAGACUUGAAGGCUUCUUUCUGUGUAACUUAGAUAACGGUGUUCUUUUCACUAUGUUCUUUGUCUCUCAUCCUUCUAGGGCUGACUCCCUUGGUUAGGUCCCUUCAUUCGUAACAGCUUUAGAGAGUGCGCCAGCUUGACCUAACUUUAUUCACAGAUUUGUAUAUAUUUAAACAUGAAAUCAGCAUUUGGUAAUUCGGGAGUUUAGACAACAAUUCCCCCCCCUCUGGAUUUAUUUCAGUCCAGGACCAGUUCAUUUUCUUUACAUGUAGGUGGAACUUGAGCGACUCUAGUCAUACAUAUUGUUGUUACUGACUGGUAUCACCUGCCCAGUGACGUGUGGUAGAACCUUGGAGGCAGGUAACUUUGAGAUGGAGGUAAGCAUUGGUAUUACAAUGAGAUUAUUUCACCUGAGGAAAGUAAUUUUGCCACAGUGGUUGGCUGAGCAGCAAACAUCUCAUAGAUUCUUCACAUGACAAUGUGCAGCUUCACUAUGCAGCUUAUCUAUGCAGCUCAUCAGCUGUGGUGCCAUCAAGUUCCCGUUCCAGCAGGGAGUACAACAGACCCUGGCCACAGUCUGCUCCACUCCACCCUCCGUUACCCCUAUCAGCAUGUGCUGGGCUGGCAGGGUGUGCUGCUUAGGGAGCCGCGGUAAAGUAGAUUCCAUGUGUGCCAACCAUCCUGAAAGUGAUAGCUGUAUUUUACCCUAAAAAAAGCCUUCUGUAAUACUAUGCCUCUAUUAGGUCCCAGUUUUCCCAAAUUGCCCCCCCAAGUAAUUUUCCCACAGAGGUGAGUGUCAAUCAUUCAUAACUAAUUUUUCAGCAGCACACAUAUAGAGCUGAGUGAUAUUGAUAUGAAAAGCCAUCAUCAGGUCUACAGAUAAAUGGCUCAAUUGCAAUUGUGUGAAAAGAAUAGAAGCAGUGGGAUUGAGGGGUGUUGAUUCCGUGUGUAUUGCAGCUUUGAUAUAUCAUGUGAACUACAGCUAUUUAGGCAGUGGAUGAACAAAUUACCAGUAGCAAUGUACGUAACAUGUACAUCCUGGGCUUGGAUCUCUACUUUCACCUCUGGUUGCCGUUAUCUGACAAUGCUGUUGCAUGGCAUAUAGAGAUGCGAGGAUAGACAAAGGGUUCUUAUUUACCAAAUUUGUACUAUUUUACAGGGGGUGACAGUAAUGAGUUUUCCAAUAUCCAGAGACAAAUAGGUCUGAAAUAUUAGAUAUUUCGCUUAGACUGUGCUUGCUAAUUCCCUCCUGCAGUUUUUCAAUUGCAUAUACUGAACUGACACAGUCAAGUUUGAUCUCUUGUAGCACACUUUUUGCAGCAGCAGUUUUCAAUGCUGAAUCACUUCCCUUUCCUGUAGGUAGUUUGAACUGAGCAUUGCAAAAAUUGACGUGGUGGUUCCUCUUUCCUGGGCUUAGGGAAACUGCCGUAUUGUUAUAGGGAAGAGAAGGUAAACAAUACUUUGAAAAUUUUUGUAAUACCUCUUUAUGAAGAUGAUUUACUACCUUCAAUACAUAAGCUCCUACACAUUGAAUCAAUGCACAGGUCCCAAUGUACUGGACUGUUUCCUCACACAAAAAAGCCUGUGUCUCAAACCCUGAUCUAAAAACUGUUAAUUAGGAAAUUUCUUCCAUAUAUACUAGCUGAUUUUUUUUUUUUGUCUUACAAGAGCUUGGAAUGAAUCAGACAUAUAAAGUGUGGGGAAUUAAAAAUAUAAUUUCCAGUUCUCAGAUGGAUUUAUUGGAAUAUAAAGUGUUUAAAUAAUUGCCUGAGGCUGCACUAGUCGAUUUGUUCCACCGGGAAGAGUUUGUGUCCAGCCCAGGAUCCUAGGCCCACAAGCACAUCCCUUCACUCAAAGUGGUGUUUUUAAUUCAGAAUAGUUGACUCUGGUAGUAUAGGUUAAUCACAAAUAAAGCACCAACACAAGCACCAAAAUGUCACUUUAAAGCCUGCAGUCUUCUGUUAGUAUCCAGCUGUUCCAACAGUGGAUUAUAGGAAGGACAAAGAAAGACUCUCACAAUUCUUUGGAAAACAAUCCUUAGAGUACUUCAGCUUAAUACUGUGCAAAGGUACUCCCUCAGUUGCCUGAGUGCAAUGAAAAUAAAGAUGGUAUAAAUGAAGCCACAGCAGCUUGAAUAUGAUUUCAAAGCCUGGGUAGCUCUCAUUCGAGGAAGUCUAACUUGAAACAGGUAAACUAAAUAGCUCUGGUAAAUCUUCAAUACAGAUUUAUGCACCUGAGAAUCUGAAGAUUGAACUCAGAUAUUUUGAGACUCAACUGCAAUACUUUAUCCAUAAGAAAUAUCCCUUUCUUUCCAAUAAUGGAAAAUUCUAGUCUUGGAUAGGGAAGGACUUACGUGAUAAGAUGUCUAGCUGAGUGUUUGCAGUAAAAUUUACACAUCUAGCAUAAACAAAAUAUUUAUCAUGAUUUAAAAUUUUAAUUGCAUUAUAUAUAAAAUAUUGAGUCCUAAGACAUAUUGAUGUCUUAAGAAAAACAGAACAUACAAUAAUACUAGAAAGUAAGAUCAUUCCAAAGAUGUCCUUUUUUUGUGUGUUUUUAAGGUGGUUAAUAUUAAUUUGAAUUUAUUUAGGUGGGUUUUUUGGGUAGUCAGACACUUUUUCUCUGAAUAUUGAAAGUUUCUGACAAUAAAAAACAAAAUUAAAAGCUUUGGUAAAAUUAAGAUUGUUAUGUAAUGGCCAUUAUGGUGUACGCUGUUUGUCCUAAAAUGUGAUCAAAUAUUGCUUACAGCUAUGAAUAAUUUUUAAAAAAACGGUUGUUGUUAACUUGAAUAAAAAACUUGUUGAUUUAAGACAGUCAGACCAACAUUGACUUGAUGAGUCCUGUCAGUGCUUUUGGAGAUAAAUUUCCUUCCAGUGGUGUACAAAAUUUAUAAACUUUUUUUCUAGUACUAAAAUGUUGUCUAGAUUAUAUGGACCUAGCACUUAAUUUUUUUUACAUUUACGAGGGUCACUUUGUACUGCUGCUUCAUGCAGAUUGUUCCUACUUAGCUUAAUGGUCUCUUUCUUUUUUCACUCCUGACCUCUUGAGUCUACUGCUGUUUGUAAAAUCUUUUCUGUAAUCACCAUUUAGCAACCAUUAUUUAGUGACCAUUUUUAUUGAUUUUUUAUAACUGUGUAUAUCACUGGAAGAAAUGUUUAAUGAAAUAAAAUUAAUUCCUAUCUUAGGGCAGUGUUAACAGAGAGAACUUUCACAGGAAUGUAUUUCACUUUGAAAAAAAUAAAGGUUUAAUAGCCUAUCUGAACACCACCUCCCCCCCAAUAAAAUGCUCUUCUACUUAUAAUCCCCCUUGAUUCUUUGAUCUGUUAACUCUUUUGUGUUGUUUUUAUUUAAAAGUCAAGACUAGUGCUGAGACAAAUAUUUGUAAGUCAAAAAUAAGGCUAGGGCUGGUUAAAAGGGCUGUUUUUUUCCUCAUUUGUGGAGGAAUGGGACGACUGAAACCUGCAGCAGUGUAUGUUAAUUUCUGCAUUUCAUCUUGCAUUUUUAGUGCAGAGCAAGGGACAAAGGUAGGUUCGUCUCUGCUCUCUUUCACAGAAAUCCUCAUUAAAGUCUGUGUUUUCAGACAGUGAAACCCCUGGCCACGUGAAACCAUAACCUUCAUUCUUUCUGUUGAAUGUUGACCUGUCCACCUUGGGCAGAUGAACUAUAUCUACCUCACAGCUUGUAUAACUUUCUGUCCAUUUUUGUCAUACUUCAGCAAACUCUGCACCUGUGCUUCUGUGUUGUACUUUCUAGUUCAAUAUACGCUGAGUGUAACAGAACCAUAACAGGGAUUUAAACUGAAAAGUUUGCAAGGAAUGGUAACAUCAUAUUUUCUAUUCCUCAGCAAUGAAUGGGGAGAGGCUAAACACGAAUAAUGGUUUAUAGUAUAAAACACCUGUUAGCAGCUGGUGCUCUGCCUUGAAUCUGCAGCCUGGCAAUGCUGACAGAUUACCUUUUUGUGUUGCUUGGUGCCCAUCAACUUGCUGCAACUAGCUGUACUUCAGGCACCGUGCGUGUUUACACUGAGAAAUAAAUACUUUAACACCUGCAUGUUAGAAAUAUAGAGACACAUUCAUCUUCAUUUUGUGACGUGAUUGCCUUUUGUGUUAAGAAAUCAAAUACCUAUAGCUAUGUUUCAAGAAGAGGAAUUGGAAGUACCUCCAACUCACACACUUAUCUCACUUUCAUGAUUUGCUGUCACUGUAGAGACAAGCAUUGCUUCAAACAAGUGAUCCACCUGCCAGAGUAUAACACUUUGUAUAGCUAAAAUUUCACCUCUAGAUGACAGACUGUAAGUACAUUCCCAGGGUGAGGUCAUAACUGGUCAGUGGUGGGGAGGUCCACGUUCUACCCCAGCCAUGGUACAGUGGCAUCUCUCAUCCCCUGAUGUCCAACCCCGGUACUUUCUUGCACUGUUUAGCUUCUUUCAGCCACUAGCUUGAAUUUUACUUAAGGCACUACUCAAACCUUUAUGUAGUGUAGUUUAGUUCUUUUCGUAGUUGUUUUUUCCCCUAUUUUUAUUCUUCAACAUUUAAAUUUACUUCCUUUUCUGGGACUCUUUUUACUCAUACAGCUUCUACAGCUAUGCCAUCUGGCUUAAUGUCAUUUUUCACCUGAGGUGAUGCUUCAGAUUAGUUCAAGAAAAGUACUUUGAGAAACUUCAAAACUUCAUCUUUAGCUCUGUACUAGAAAUUUGAAUUCAAGUGCUUAGUUUUUUACUUUGGCUCCACAGCCUUCAAAGAAGAACCCAUUCAACUUGUGAUUUGUACUGGGUUUGCAUGGCAAUGUUUUGGUAGUGGGGGGGCUACAGGAGUGGCUGCUGUGAGAAGCUGCCAGAAGCUUCCCUGUGUUCGACAGAGCCAAUGCCAGCCGGCUACAGGACAGUCCUGCCACUGGCCAAGGCUGAGCCCAUCAGUGAUGGUGGUAGCGCCUUAUGGGAUAACAUAUUUAAGAAUGGGGGCAAAACCCUGUGCAACACCAGCAGCAGCCAGAGGAGAGAGGAGUGACACCCAGGUCAGUGCAGGAGGGGCAGGGGGUGCUCCAGGGGCUGGAGCAGUUUUCUGAUAAGCCAUACAUCAAGCCUUGGAAAGGAUUGUACUUCUACAGCUAAUGUCUUGGUUAAAUAUGUGGAAAUAAGCACUCACUGAAUUGACACAUAAUUCACCUUGUCUAUAUUUAUACACCUUUUGGUUGAUUCUUCUCUGGACAAUUAGAUGACCAUUUUUAUUUCCACAGAUGACUAUUUUUAUUUGUUUCCUAAUUUUCUUUGGCAAUACUUAUUUCCCCAGUGCAAAUGAAAACACACAUUGUAAUGUUACUUGUCAAAAGAUUUCUUGAAUGCAGAUGUUGGCAACAUCCUGCAGAAAAGGCUAAUUGAAUAAAGUUGUAUUGAACCGCUGUGAGAAAGAAAAUCGUGUAAAUACAUAAAUGAGAAUAUAUUACACCACUAAUAUUCAGGUACCACAAAAAUAUUUAAUGUUGUAGCAAAGUAUUUGAAAUACGUCAUGGGACACUUACCAAAAGUUUGCUUGGCAAUGAACAAGCACAAAGACAGACAAUUAAACUUGCAUGCUCAUUCAAAUGGUUAUAAAAUUAGGUCUUCUGAAUGUUCAACUGUGGAAACAUACUUUAUAUUUCACUACAGAUAAUACGAAAUUAAUCUUAAGAGACACACCAAAGUUAUAUGGAUGCACGUGAUCUGUUUGGACGAAAUAAUGACUUGAUAGUGAAGAAUACAUGUAUGGGUUAUACUCCUGAUUCUGGAACAACUAUGCAUGUUAUUCUACCAUUUCCUCCCCUCCCCACCCCCCACCCCCCCCUUGCCCAUAAUUCCCUGGAUUUCAAUGGAAUGACUUGCAGAAAAAAAAGUUUUCACUGAACCUGAGGAACUAUAUCAGAUGUUGGGUUGGAAUUUCUCUUAGCUUCAGACUGUUAGACUUUAAAAUAGUAAUAACUUUCUUCCUUAUUUUUGUUAAGAUAGAACACAACUUUUUAAAGUGAUAAAUUCUUUCAGAAUUACUGGUUUUAUGCAAUACCAUACCAAAAGGUGCAAAUUGUUUAGAUAGUACUUGUAAAAAUAGACUGUAUGUUAUGUAAAGAUUCAUAUAUGACUUUUAAGUGAGGUUUUGGUUUUCUUUUGCUUGGCAGAUUAUCCCAGCUCUGAAGAAUAUCUAGAGCUUCUGGUUUUGUAGCAUUCAGACAAUCAGCGAGCCAGACUCGUCUCACUUUACCAAAAGAUGUUUUGAUCAAUUUCUGUACGAACAUUUGUCUUCAUAUAACUUGAGUAUGGCAUGAACACCACCACAUGACUGGAACAAAAUAAGGAAUACUUACAAACUAGCUUAUGUGAAUUAUAUAUAGGAAAAAAAAAAAGAGUAAAGGUAUUGUGAUAAAGAGAGAGGAGGUGGAGGAUAAUGACAACAGUCCUGGAAGUCUUUGCACAAAAAGAGGCCCCUGUAUCCAACUUGGCUAGCAAAAAAAUGAGAAGCACUAGAGAUGAGUCAUCCAGCUUUCUCUACAGGCUUGGCUUCUGCACAUGCGUAGGCAUGAGUGCGCGUUUGUGACACAUGCAGAACAAUCUACCUCACACUGUGGGUCUGACUAUGACAGCAGCCGCUGAAUGUGCUCCAAGACUGAACAUCAGCGAAGAAAAGUUAUUUUAUCUGGUCUAUAUGUAAGGCUCAUAGUGACAUCCUGAAAGGUGUUAAACAAUGUGAAAGCUGUCAAUGGUAAGCCCAUCAAACCCAGAAUGAGUUAUAAAUUUUUCAGUGAAAUAGAAGUGUUCCAUUUUUUUAUUUCUGUCAAGUCUGGGGCAAGAGUAUACUGGUUUGGGGGACGUCUUCAGUGAAAUGAAUGUAGUUGUUAAAAAUCUGAUGCUUUCCUUUUGAAUCAAAUCUUUACAAACAGACAUAUUUUACUUUAUUAGUAAUCUUGUAGUAGAAAAAUAGAUCAAGCUUGUAACAAGGGUCUUAAGACAGAUUCUUUUUUCACUGUACUUCAGCUAAAAUGUUAAGCCGUGUGUCUUUUUAUAGGUUUUAUAGCUGCUAGUUAAAAAUACAUAUGCCACUCCCUGUAAACAUAAGUGAGAAAAAGGAACAGUCUAAAAAGUGCUUUAUGGCUACAGAUCCUUAAAUAAGUGACAUUUAACACUACCAAAAAAAAAAAAAAGAAAAAAAAAAGAGAAAAAAGAACAAAGAAGAGGGCCAAUUUCAGCUCACAGGACUGCAAAGGAAACUUGAGAAACUGCCAGACUGCUGCACAGAGAAGAGGCAAGGGGAGGACUUACAGAGACAACACUCACCUGUGCAGAGUGUUGCACUUCAAUCACCUUGCACGUAUACCUUCCAUGAAAUAGAGACGCAUUACCCAAACAUUGCUGAUGCAAGACAAUUUGGGAACAGUUGCCCGUUUUGUUAGAAAACAGCAGGCAGCAGUGGCAGAGGACAUUUAGGACCAAAACCCACAGGGCCAGAGCUGAAGGCUAGAAACAUCCUUACUCUAAAGGAGCUCAAACACUUGGCUCCUGCAACUUAAUAAUGGUCAAAUAAGCCAAGGUGGGAUCCUGAGCUUCACUGCUUGCUUGAAAUUUUCCUCAUCUCUGGUAUACUGUCUGAGUCUUAGGGCUGGAUUUUUUCCAUGGUCUGAUUAGCGUUGUCUUUUUUAAUGGAGAACAAUGUCAAGGAAGAUACCAAGUAUGUAGCAGCAGCUCUUUGAUGCUCCACCACAAGCUUAAAGUGUUGGGAAUGGAGAGAAUGAGUGAUAGGUCAGAGAGCUGCAGAGACCAGACGUCUCCUGGAAGACGCGGUGUAGCUAACUCCAUCAGUGAUAUGCGGACGGAGUCAAGAAGAAGAUGGACACAAGAUAUGGAGGAUAACAAGCAGAAAGUGCAGCAAUCAACUAUCUUCAGACAGCAGAGCUGAAAGUUUGUCAAGGUAUAAGUAUAUAUAUGCAUAUCACGUUACUUAUAAAGGUGAACAAAGCUUUUAAAUUCACAUGAUGGUGCUUGCAGAUCUCCAUUUUUGUUUUAGAACAAAGAUAUAGUCAUGAUGGACCAGUAAAUGUUUUUUUUCUACAUUUUGUAGAAAAUUAAUUUUGUAGAACCUCUGAUCAACCUGGAUAUGUAUGGGAUUUUAAGUGCUUGUAAUCAAGUUAUUACUAUCUAAUGGGUUCAUUUUCAGGCAGCUAAUCCUACAGUUUCUACAUUAAGACAAAAAGGAAGUGCUUUAGCUUCAAAAAUUUCAGCAUAUUCUAAUUCCUUGAGAAAAAAAAUAAAAAAACUAAGAUAGUAAACAGACCUUAGUUUGGAGGGUAAAACUGUGCAUUUAGACAAUCUCACUAAUUAUAUAGAAUAGUUGUUCACUUUUAUUUUAAAGGAAAAAGUACACCUGUGUUUCCAUGGUAUACUCAGUAUAGCUCUGAGGAUUUUAUUUUCUAUUAGCUAAAAUCACUCUCCUUAUUUGUAAUCUGCAUCAGGUUUGCCUUCUGAAUUAGUACAUUCACCUAACAUAAUUUUCACCAAAUAAGGAAUACAUGUAAUAUAUGAUACUUAGCCAUUCUGCAAGCUUUUAUUUUUUUUCAGAUUACAGCACUGUAACAGCUGCCAACAACUGAGCAGAAAAAGCAGAAAAAGAAUGUUCAUGUCAAGUAUAAUAUGAGAAAUGUUUAAAAUCAAGAAGAAUGUUUGAAAAUGCAAAAUUUUGUUGUAAUCUUAUUUGAAUACUGUAUUGCGUAUGGGAGCAGCACAGAGGACUGAGAAUUUCUGUGGCAAAAUGUCAUCAUUACUGGAGUUUAUUAAUAUUUUUUAAAUAUAUUUUAUUGACUUUUGGUUUUUUUUUGUGAUAGUGCUUUUUUUCCUGGGGAUCUCAACAUACUUCACAGAAACUAGUUUAGUGCUUACUUAGUACAACAAUAAUUUUUAAAAAAAUUAUUAAAUGCAUUUGAAUCCAAGAUAACUAAUAAGUGAAACUUACACUGAAGGGAAAUGAAAGUGGAAUCCUGAACCAUGUCUUACCUACAGUCCAAUUCCAGUCUGUCAGAUGAAAGUGUUGUCAAGACACUUGUGUUUGACUCUGUCUCCCUCUCUAGUUAGACAAAAAUUACUAUGGCUUUUAAAGAAUAAUCAUUUCAAAUAAAGUAACCUUUUCAGUAAAUUACAAAGUGAUAAGUUAAUACAAACUCUUCCACUGCACAAAUACGUUUGCCUUUCCUGAUAUCUUAUUUGGAACUUUUGCCAGCAUGUUCAAGAUUAAGCAGAGAUGAUUUUUUGCUGGGUCAAAGCCUUAGAGAUUAUUGUGCCAGGAAAGGUCUCACUGUUUUGCUCUCUCUUUCAUUUCCUAUUUCUUGCUAUUUUUGAUAGCAGCUUCUAAAUUAGUAAAUAUCUCACUUUAGGGAGCAAGCUAUAUGACCUGAAAUGUAUUAGGCUUUUCCAAACUGAAAAUGCUGAAGUGCAGAAAGGAAAAAUAUUUUAUUUGAAAAGCACUAUCUCAGCUCUUAUCAAAGUGUAAAACCAGCAGGAAAGGUUGAUAUUUACAAUUUACUGCCCAUUUUACCACUGAUCACUUUGAUGCCAUACUACAGGGCUCCAGCAACGGGACUAGACUGCCUAAAGAGUCAGACAGCUCUAACAGUGUGAUUGCAGACCACAUCAGUUCAUAGGAUCAAAAUCUUAACACAUAUUGCUUUUCCUCUCACACUUCAUAUAUCUUCAUUCCCUGCAACUCCAUUACAGUACUUGGAACACUUUUAUCUUUCUGGUUAGAGCAUCUUCUUGAGCUUAGCAGCUACUAACAGUGCAAGUAGAGCUGCUAGUCAUGCUUAGCGUAUGAGGAUACCCCAGGCACAUACAUAUGCCCAUAGCAGACAAUGCUUGAUUAAAUCUUUGGAUAAUUGGAAGGGUUUUUAGGAAUCUGUACAAUGUAUGUCUUUUUUAAGAAUGUUUCUACAAUUUCAUUUUUUUCCCCAUUUCCAUUCUCUGCAUGCAGCCAACAGGAAAACAGUCCUCUUCCAAGGCAAAGAAAUGCUUUGUGAUGGGAACAGUUAGUAAAGAUGAUGCUUCCCUUUUAAAUGUAGUUCAUGGCAUUUCUUAGUUUUCUUAAUGAAUUCUGCUGUGGGAAACAGCCAGAAGAAGCAGCAAAGAGAAGGGGAGAAAUCUUCCUGAUCACAGAUCCUUAACAAGAUGGAACAACACCUGAGAAGGGUUUUACAAUUUCUAGCACAUUUCAAAUACUGUGACUCUGACAUGCUUGACAUCAUACCAUCAUGGUGAUUUGCUUCUGUAACUGCAUGAAGAAUAGGGAAGACAUAUUGAUUUUGUCCAAAUCGGAUCUGCUUAAUGACGUUCACUAUUUUACUGCUGCAUUUACCCCUGAUAUUCCAGCUUCUGAGUAGUUGCAAUGAACUCAUAUUAAAACCAAUGAAAUGUCACAGCACUCUCCAAACUAGCCAGCUACAACAAGGUCUUUUACCACCUCAUACCAGCAUACAUGACACUCUUCAUGUCAGUCCCUCUGCUGCCUUCUCCUCAUCUCACCUCUUCCAGGGAAUGUGUUCUCUCUCUUUUCUCUGCUUCUUCCUCUCUCCCCUUCUUCCUCAGCUGCUCUCCCUUCACUGGCUCUCAACCACUUAACAGAACCAGCCACACCUGCACCUUACCUACAUCGGCCAACUUGACAACCAUGAAGCCAACCCACAGCUGUAUAUUAUCAAUGCUAAUUAGCCCAGCCUCAUUCCUCUACAAUGAAAUGUUUUCCCCCAUUGCCAACUAAAAAAACCCAAACAACUACCCACAAUAAAAGCAACAACAAUAAAAAUAAUUUCUCAAAAAUAAGCCACCUUCUCUUCUUUUAGAAAAUGUUGUUUUCACUUUCCUUAAGUACAGAUUUUUUAACCAAAAUCUUACUGACCUGAAGUCAGUAUAGGUGAUAGUCUGCCUCAGAACAGUGAAUACUUUGAAGGUCUGCAUCUUGCUAACCACUGGGAUUUAAAGUAUUUCAUUCCAAUAAAGCAGGUUCAUAACUGGAUUAUGUAUGGCAAAUCUAUUUCUGGUUUCCUGUCUUAACAGAGAUGAUAAUAUAGAGAUAUUGGCAGGAUAGCAGAGUUUCCAUAGUGGAGAAAUAGUUGAGGGCAAUGGUUGACAAAUAUGAAAAUACAUCACCUAACAUAAUUUGAUUUGAUUGCUACUAUCACGUUGUUGUUAUUAUUUAAGUUACAUUCACAGAUAACAGUAACCUAGAUCAAUGAAAUUGAAAUAAGUAUAAAAAUUAAAUUUGCUUUAAACUCUUUUCUAUUUCUUAUGUUUUAUUCAGCUUGGCCACAGGAAA
Molecule: long non-coding RNA, 21742 nt
Organism: Falco peregrinus (peregrine falcon)
Lineage: Eukaryota; Metazoa; Chordata; Aves; Falconiformes; Falconidae
Exons: 5
Source: RefSeq, a predicted model, not a curated record